CAGAGCUGAGCCGGAGGUGGCAGCGUGCCGGUACGUGGCGUGGUCCUGCAGGGCUGAGUGGGUGUGCUUCCUGUCAGCCGCGGCGUCUCUUCCCCGAGGCGAGCGGCCCAUACAGGUGCUGCUCAGCUAGCUUCUGCAACUCGCAGAGCCAGUCUCCAUGGGAACUCGCGUGAGGGGGAGGGGGAGCGCCUUCCCUCCUGCUGCCGCUGCUACCGGGUCUGCCCCAGCAUGGUGCGCUCUCCGCGAUACGCCGCUCCUUUCCCCUCGCCCCCACCUUCUACCAAUCCGGAGAGGAGCUUCGGAGCACAGCCAUGAUUUCUUGGAGAGAAGCUUAGAGUGGUCAGACUGGCUGGGACAAACUACUGGAGCAGCCAAGCAUGGCAUAUGGCCCUGUUCUAAGCUGUUAACAGGCUGACUUCCUUUUCCCUCUAUGUGUAUUUGACUCAGAAUGAAACAAAGGGAAGGUGUUCCAUACUCUCUCCAUGGUUAUAUUUGUCUCUUCCACCACAAUAGAUAGUGCUUCUUUCUCCAUUUCAUUCUUCAUAACUGAAAGCUGCAGCUGAUGAAACAUCAACACUUUCAAAACUCUGAUUCUAGUGGCAGAGGCUUUUUCCAACCUGGUGCUGCUUACAAGCAAUGGAGAAGUCUGUCCUCACAUGUCUCUCCUCAGUUGUACAUUGCUGCAUCUCACCAGCAUUUCCUUGUGGUUACUCUUCACUUUUUUCCAAAUAUUUCUUUGCGCGCUUGCGCACUUACCUUUGCUACUCACCAGUAACAAAGGUAAAUGAAUGCCACCCCUGGUUUCAUUCAAGGGUAUGUAAAAAAAAGAAAAGAAACUGAACCUGGAGGGAAGUUUACUGAGAACUCAGGAGCAAAUUACAAACAUACAGAUCCCAAGGCAAAACAAGGCAUCAGCCCUGUACAAUAAGUGUGCAGACAAGAUGUUGGUGAUAGAAGUGGGCUGAAAAAUGACUUUCAGAAAGGCUUGUUCAUUUUUAGAAAGUCAAUUUAGAAACCUUUUACCUUCUUGGUAAGCUAAAUGAAUGUUGUGGCCAUUGUUGUAAAUUUAGAAAUAAAAUUAGGAUAAAAAUAGGCAAAGCCCAAGAAAUGUGGUACUAAUAAUAUUGGAGGAGGGUUUGGUGAGAAUACCAAGAUAACAGAUUGUACUUUAGUUGAAUCCAUCUGUAGUUCUUCAGAAGAAAUAUAGUACUCCAAAUAAUCUAGUAUAGGCUGACAAUGGUGCAUUUCUCAAGUUUAAUGCAGAGGCUGUUGUCAUGAAGACACUGAAGAACUGUAUGCACUUGGUUGUC
Ahaetulla prasina is the source of this 1310-nucleotide long non-coding RNA. RefSeq lists it as uncharacterized. The record is from RefSeq and is a predicted model, not a curated record. NCBI's taxonomy places the organism in Eukaryota, Metazoa, Chordata, Lepidosauria, Squamata, Colubridae. The transcript is spliced from 3 exons.